GGCCAACAGGAAAAGGGCGGACCAGGAGGAGGAGAAGGGUAAACUUGAACUACCUGUCUAAAGAGAGCCUGUCAUUAUUCCGUUACAAGGAAAGAGACUCUGAUUCAUUGCUCUUCCUGGGAUGUUACACUCUCCUUGAGGCAUGGAAGGAAGAGAAAGGUGCAGUACCAAAACAGCAAGGGCCCACCGUGGCGCCGUGGGAGAGCUGGCACAGGGCUGGCAAAGCUGGUCCGAUGAUCAUGUUGACUAUCAGAAGCGGAACCCAUUCAGCAGCAAUAAGCCAGUGAUGCUGCGGACUGAGAGAGGUGAUCCCACUUAUGGGAGGCCACCUGAAGGAUCCAAAACAGAGCAGAGGGGGAAAGAUGCUCACACGCAUAUUGGCAAGGAAGUCGAAGAACUGUGUUUGGUCAUACGCAGGGUUGGGGAGAGAGGACAAGAUGGGCGUGUGCGAAUAACCUUUAAGCACCUUUUUGACAGAUAUGUGACUAUUUCCAACAAAGUUGUAGGUGUCCUCUUGAGAGCAAGAAAGCAUGGGCUAAUUGACUUUGAAGGUGAAAUGCUUUGGCAAGGAAGAGAUGACGAUGUGGUCAUCACCUUACUUUGAAUCAACUGGGUAAACUUUAUUGCAUGAUACUCUGGGGAACAGUUUCAACACUUUUAAGUGGCAACCAUGCUGGCUGGUCAGGAUGCAGUGAACAAAAUGCUAUGUUAACAUGUAAGAUACAUGGUUGCUAGUUUAUGCCUUCGCCCCACUGAAUUCUGCAGUGUCUCUAGUUUACGCUCUCUGUUCAGGAUUAAAUCUCAGCAUGGUCUCUCCCCUCCUCCCUCCCAAUUAAGCUGUGAGAGUGUGUGAACUGAAGCUAGGCAAAUAUAACUUAUAACUGUGGCUGUACUAGAAAUAUAAAAUGUUAGCAAAUUAAAAUAUUUUGGGCAUGUUUUAAGUCUCUUAUCAUUAAAAGGUCAAUAUGCAGUGUA
Molecule: long non-coding RNA, 975 nt
Organism: Anolis carolinensis (green anole)
Lineage: Eukaryota; Metazoa; Chordata; Lepidosauria; Squamata; Anolidae
Exons: 2
Source: RefSeq, a predicted model, not a curated record